Tympanuchus pallidicinctus (lesser prairie-chicken) is the source of this 3995-nucleotide long non-coding RNA. RefSeq lists it as uncharacterized. Lineage: Eukaryota; Metazoa; Chordata; Aves; Galliformes; Phasianidae. The record is from RefSeq and is a predicted model, not a curated record. The transcript is spliced from 2 exons.
CGUUUUUGCCUUUUCUACUGAAAAUUAGGCACUGUGUAUUUGGACAUGGCACAGAAGUGCUGCGAUGCGUUCUGCUGCACGCCUCCGUCCAGCGCUCCCUCAGAUCUUUCCUGCCUGUUUUUGUUCUUGCACAGCUGAUAGAACAAGAAGAAACACAGAGAUGAUGCACAGUGAUGCAUUAUGCACAGGGCUGCUGGCAGAAAUUUGAGGUGAGCAUAUUAAUUAUGAAUAAUAAAAGCACAAAGAAAAAGCUUCUUCCUGCAUCACAGGAGAACUUUUAACCUUCCAACUAAGGGCAUUUUUGUGUAUCUCACUGAAAAGCUAUUUUACAAAAUGCUUACUUUUUUUUUUUCCUUACAAAAGUAAAGAAAUACUAUUUCUGCAAUCCUUUUCCCCACCAAGACAGGCUUUUAAUCACCACUGGCAUUUAUAAUAUGGCAACUCUUAUGGCUCUAGAGAAACAACAAUCCAAAGGAGAAAAGUGUGACAUAUUUUGCCUGGAAAACGUUGUUACACUGACAAAGAAAUAUGAAGAACGUAUAUUAAUAUCCUGUCUCACAAUAUGGGGUAAAAGCAAAAAGAAAACCAGGAGAGAGAGGUGAAAUACAUACUUCUGCAAGAUGGUCAGUAAAAAAGAGGCAAAAUAAUUAUUUGCAAGACUUCAAUGAUUCCUACAUGCCUGAAGGAGGACAAGAAUAGGACUUUCUCCAGGAUUUGACAAUUGCUUGGCUCUGUGGAAUGUAGAUACCUUUGCCCAUUUGUAUGAGAACGUGUCCUUUGCUUUGGUUUCCCUCUGAGAGCUCAUAAGUGAAUACAUAGGAAGGCUUUCAGGACUUACCUCCUCCUGUAUUUGCACACAUACAGGAGAUGCACAUGCAGGAUAUGUAUCAGAACGAAUAAAAAGGUGUCAGCAACUGAGCAUUGCUGAGAGCAUCAUACGAGUAUGGAUGUUUGGUGAAAAUAAACACGCUCCUGUCUGUCUUGAAGGAAAUACAGCAGUGGCUUUUUUUUCCAUUCUCACCAUUCUCAAACACCGAAUAGCAUUCAGCUACAAGUGAGAAAUUGUCUGUGUGCAGGUGCUUGGCUUCAUUGAAAACAUACACUUUUCUUGGUGGCUGAGCUGUUCACCAUAUUCACAUCAGCCUACUAGAGGCAGCUCUGCCUCGCUUUUUUUCAUAUACUUGUAAUGAGAAGAGAUGAGCAGCCUGGCUGCCUACAAAGGUAGCAGUGUUUGUAAAACAACAGAAGAACAGCAGCACUGCAGGGCGCAGGCUGCCAUACACUGCUUCUGCUUUCUUACGACAACAAUCUUGUAACUUCAGCUUUGUGUUGCAGAAACUGUGGCUGUCCUGGAAGCAUCCCAUCCUUUUUUCACCAAGGGGGGCAAAAGAAGCGUCCAUCUCUAAAGGUCUGCUUCCGCUUCUUACCGAGGCAUGGUGCACUGCUGAAAUUGAAGACAAAUCCUGAAAGAUUUAGAUUGUAAUUUGUGAAACUGUUUAAAGUAUUGUGUGGAAACUGACUUUCGUAAUGCAAUCUGUCUACUUUUUCUCCAAACGUCACAAAAGAGAAUUAAAAUUUAAGUGCACUGCUAUGUUUUGCAGAAGAUUAAAAAUUACUGUUCUUUGAGCAGAUUCUAGCAGCAGUGAUGGAAAUUGCUUUAUGUACUCAAUGAUUUAUACUUCAUUGUAUAAUUUGUUUUAUUCCCACUGCAACUCAGCAGGAUUACAAAGGCACGUAUGAAUAAAUAUGAAUUUGAGAUGUUGCAACUGAGUGCAGGAGCAUAAUGAUGGUAAUUCUUCCCCGCAGACCAGGAAGCUUUAAACAUACAUUUCCCUCAACAGAACAGUUGGAUGUUAUCGAAAUGACUACUGUGCCUACAAGUGCCCUUUGCAGCAUCAUUCCCUCACUGAUCAAACCAUCACUGUUGGCCCAGCACACAAACCAGUGCAAAGUACUGCCCAGAAAGAAGCUUGCUGUUACCUGCCUAUGCAGUUCCCACAAAAGCUGCUGCUGAAAAUUCUCUCCUAUCAGAUGUUUCUGCACUGUGAAUGCUAAGGAAAUGCUAGGGAAUUUGACUGCAUGAUUUUUAAAGAAACCAACAGGAUCAUCAGAUUUACACAAUGAUUACAGUUCUGCUUGCUAAUAUUGAUCCUCCCUUCAAAGGAAAUGAAUGCAAAACAAGACUGGAGUUAUAAUACACCAAUAAUGUUUUGCUUUUCUGAAAAAGUAAUGAUAGCUGGUGCUUUUGUAUCUAUUUCCUUAUCAUCUCUGAAAUAUAAGUAGUUAAAACUCCAACAUAAGAAUAAAGAGGGAUGACAGAGGUGGCAAAGCACCUCGAUGUGGAUCUAAAUAUAACCAAGGUUGUUUAUAUCAGUGAGCUCUACCAAAGGAUAUGUGCUUAUGCGGCUUUCUUGGCUGGGGAGUCAGUUUGCAAUGCUCCCAUGUAUUGUAUCCUUUAUUGUUCGUAUUUCAAAGGUCAUUUUUGCAAGAUUCUAAACCAAUAAAUCAAAAGCUAAAUUAUUACCUCAGUAGCAGAAAUGGAGAAGCUGUAAUAUUGAGGUUGACUGAGUCUGUCAAGUAGAUGUUUAUUAUUAGAAGUAGGAUUAGAUUUCAUGUCAUCACUCCAAAUCUUGUACCCAAUCUUCUUGCACUGGCGACCUACCGUAAUGUACUGCAUGUCAAUGUGACCAUUCUGAAGUGGUUAAUACCCGGGGAGGAGCUAUGUCCUGAACUGCCAGGUGAAUGACUAAACAUUUCCUAAGGCUCACUCAAGACACUGAAGACAAAAUAUCUGUCGUUGUUUGUCACAGUUCAUAUUUCUGCUGCUUCUCAGACGUGCUGUGAUUCAUCUCUGAGGAAUACUUCAUAUACUGUAAUUUAUUUUUCUAUCACGACACUCGCAGUUUGCCAAAACAGCAAUUUCCCUUGUGCUGUCUGAGCAUUGCUAGCUCUUCAAUCAAAUGUAUUCUGCCUGUUUCCAUCCCUGCUCUCUGUCUCAAUUAUUGUUUUUGUGAAGAUAAGAAAACCCCAUUUUUACCACUGGAGAGCCAGGCUGCUUAGGUCACAAGAUUCUCUUGGCUUAAUCCCUGAGCAUGAAUCACGAACUCUCCCUACGAAGUACUGGCAUUCUUCAGAUGAUCAAGCCAGCUUACAAAGGCUUCCAGAGCUUUCCGCAUUAAUGAUCACCAUGUUUAAAGCAUCAAAAGCAGGAGCUGAUUAAGAAUUAAACUGUUUAAAACUGUUUUAAACUUUUCCCAUUUCCUCUGUUUCCUACACUUACGUGGCUUCAAAGUGUAAACAGCUGUGAUGCAACUCAUGUCAAAAGCAGUAAUAUGAAAAAUAUGAUGAAAAAGAUAAAUGAGACAAAAAUAUUUGUGUGAAAUACAAGAAACAGAGUUACACUUUCUGCAAUACAUGGCUCAGAAAUAAACUGUAUAUGCCCAUGUGGCUCGAGUUAACAAAAAGCUUUUCUCUCACGUGUAAUAUCAGAAAUGCUGGAGGUAGCCAAACAACCAUUCACAGAUGAUUUACAACCCCUGCUGAAAAAAAAAGUCAUGCACUAUUGAGACAUCACAGUAGAUGUCAUAUAAUUCUAUAGGCGUUAUGUGAAGGUAUAGAUACAAUGAAGACACCCCCCAAAAUUAUUUCUUGAGAUGUGAAAGUGGAAAACAGAAUAUUCAUUCCAGAUGCAGAGCACAGAGAAUUGCUGAGAUAAGACUGGACACUAGUGAGCACAUAACCCUGGAAACAUGAAGGUCCUGGGCAAUUCAAGACAGGUGUUGUAUUCCUGCACCACAUUCAACUACUAGAUCUGAUAAAAGGAGACCAAACUUGAGCCCAUUCACUUUGGCUACCAAUGAGAUUUGUGAAACUUUUACCAAAACAGCACUUCUGCAUAAAAAUGGAGGAAACUAUUUGAACAACAGUCCUUUCUUGUAUUAUUUCCAGAUGUGGUGAAAAACAUUAUUAAGACUAAUAAAUACAUUAUACAGUCA